ACCCUUUAAUGUUUGAUGUUCUAACGUGGACCCGUGAUCCGGGUUGCGGACAGUGUCUGGUGGGUAGUUUGACUGGGGCGGUCUCCUCCUAAAGAGUAACGGAGGAGCACGAAGGUUGGCUAAUCCUGGUCGGACAUCAGGAGGUUAGUGCAAUGGCAUAAGCCAGCUUGACUGCGAGCGUGACGGCGCGAGCAGGUGCGAAAGCAGGUCAUAGUGAUCCGGUGGUUCUGAAUGGAAGGGCCAUCGCUCAACGGAUAAAAGGUACUCCGGGGAUAACAGGCUGAUACCGCCCAAGAGUUCAUAUCGACGGCGGUGUUUGGCACCUCGAUGUCGGCUCAUCACAUCCUGGGGCUGAAGUAGGUCCCAAGGGUAUGGCUGUUCGCCAUUUAAAGUGGUACGCGAGCUGGGUUUAGAACGUCGUGAGACAGUUCGGUCCCUAUCUGCCGUGGGCGCUGGAGAACUGAGGGGGGCUGCUCCUAGUACGAGAGGACCGGAGUGGACGCAUCACUGGUGUUCGGGUUGUCAUGCCAAUGGCACUGCCCGGUAGCUAAAUGCGGAAGAGAUAAGUGCUGAAAGCAUCUAAGCACGAAACUUGCCCCGAGAUGAGUUCUCCCUGAGACUUAAAGUCUCCUGAAGGAACGUUGAAGACGACGACGUUGA
RNAcentral lists this ribosomal RNA (660 nucleotides) under Salmonella enterica. RNAcentral's name for it is "partial 23S ribosomal RNA". It matches the Rfam family "Bacterial large subunit ribosomal RNA", at positions 2202 to 2856 of the family's 2925-position model. Lineage: Bacteria; Pseudomonadati; Pseudomonadota; Gammaproteobacteria; Enterobacterales; Enterobacteriaceae. RNAcentral also lists the same sequence under 1 other name. The record is from RNAcentral.